RNAcentral lists this ribosomal RNA (306 nucleotides) under uncultured Pseudomonas sp. Its description in RNAcentral is "bacterial SSU rRNA". It matches the Rfam family "Bacterial small subunit ribosomal RNA", at positions 1075 to 1382 of the family's 1533-position model. The record is from RNAcentral. Lineage: Bacteria; Pseudomonadati; Pseudomonadota; Gammaproteobacteria; Pseudomonadales; Pseudomonadaceae.
UUGGGUUAAGUCCGCAACGAGCGCAACCCUUGCCUUUAGUUGCCAGCAGUUCGGCUGGGCACUCUAAAGGGACUGCCGGUGUUAAACCGGAGGAAGGUGGGGAUGACGUCAAGUCCUCAUGGCCUUUAUGACCAGGGCUACACACGUACUACAAUGGCCGAUACAAAGGGUUGCCAAGCCGCGAGGUGGAGCUAAUCCCAUAAAACCGAUCGUAGUCCGGAUCGCAGUCUGCAACUCGACUGCGUGAAGUCGGAAUCGCUAGUAAUCGUGAAUCAGAAUGUCACGGUGAAUACGUUCCCGGGCCUU